Molecule: microRNA precursor, 103 nt
Filed under: Marmota monax (woodchuck)
Lineage: Eukaryota; Metazoa; Chordata; Mammalia; Rodentia; Sciuridae
Source: RNAcentral
AGUGGAGUUGCUGGAUCAUAUGGUCAUCUUACAUUAAAGUUUUUGAGGAUCUGUUAAAUUGUUUUCCAAAGUAGCUGCACCAUUUUACAUUGCCACCAACAAU